RNAcentral lists this ribosomal RNA (497 nucleotides) under uncultured bacterium. RNAcentral describes it as "partial 16S ribosomal RNA". It matches the Rfam family "Bacterial small subunit ribosomal RNA", at positions 28 to 507 of the family's 1533-position model. The record is from RNAcentral.
GAUGAACGCUGGCGGCGUGCCUAAUACAUGCAAGUCGAGCGAACGGACGAGAAGCUUGCUUCUCUGAUGUUAGCGGCAGACGGGUGAGUAACACGUGGAUAACCUACCUAUAAGACUGGGAUAACUUCGGGAAACCGGAGCUAAUACCGGAUGAUAUUUUGAACCGCAUGGUUCAAAAGUGAAAGACGGUCUUGCUGUCACUUAUAGAUGGAUCCGCGCUGCAUUAGCUAGUUGGUAAGGUAACGGCUUACCAAGGCAACGAUGCAUAGCCGACCUGAGAGGGUGAUCGGCCACACUGGAACUGAGACACGGUCCAGACUCCUACGGGAGGCAGCAGUAGGGAAUCUUACGCAAUGGGCGAAAGCCUGACGGAGCAACGCCGCGUGAGUGAUGAAGGUCUUCGGAUCGUAAAACUCUGUUAUUAGGGAAGAACAUAUGUGUAAGUAACUGUGCACAUCUUGACGGUACCUAAUCAGAAAGCCACGGCUAACUACGUG